RNAcentral lists this transfer RNA (72 nucleotides) under Camelus bactrianus (Bactrian camel). It matches the Rfam family "tRNA". From Rfam's summary of the family: Transfer RNA (tRNA) molecules are approximately 80 nucleotides in length. The record is from Rfam by way of RNAcentral. Lineage: Eukaryota; Metazoa; Chordata; Mammalia; Artiodactyla; Camelidae. RNAcentral also lists the same sequence under 2 other names.
GAGGGUGUAGCUCAGUGGCAGAGCGUAUGCUUAGUAUGCACGAGGUCCUGGGUUCAAUCCUCAGUACUGCCA